RNAcentral lists this transfer RNA (76 nucleotides) under Salmo salar (Atlantic salmon). It matches the Rfam family "tRNA", at positions 10 to 63 of the family's 71-position model. From Rfam's summary of the family: Transfer RNA (tRNA) molecules are approximately 80 nucleotides in length. Their secondary structure includes four short double-helical elements and three loops (D, anti-codon, and T loops). The record is from Rfam by way of RNAcentral. Lineage: Eukaryota; Metazoa; Chordata; Actinopteri; Salmoniformes; Salmonidae.
GCUCAGUUGGUAGAGCAUGGUGUUUGCAACGCCAGCAUGGUGUGUGCAACGCCAGUGUUGUGGGUUUGAUUCCCAC